This 429-nucleotide ribosomal RNA is filed under the name Chloroflexota bacterium. RNAcentral's name for it is "Chloroflexi bacterium partial 16S ribosomal RNA". It matches the Rfam family "Bacterial small subunit ribosomal RNA", at positions 355 to 776 of the family's 1533-position model. The record is from RNAcentral. Lineage: Bacteria; Bacillati; Chloroflexota.
UGGGGAAUAUUGCACAAUGGGCGCAAGCCUGAUGCAGCCAUGCCGCGUGUGUGAAGAAGGCCUUCGGGUUGUAAAGUACUUUCAGCGGGGAGGAAGGGAGUAAAGUUAAUACCUUUGCUCAUUGACGUUACCCGCAGAAGAAGCACCGGCUAACUCCGUGCCAGCAGCCGCGGUAAUACGGAGGGUGCAAGCGUUAAUCGGAAUUACUGGGCGUAAAGCGCACGCAGGCGGUUUGUUAAGUCAGAUGUGAAAUCCCCGGGCUCAACCUGGGAACUGCAUCUGAUACUGGAAAGCUUGAGUCUCGUAGAGGGGGGUAGAAUUCCAGGUGUAGCAGUGAAAUGCGUAGAGAUCUGGAGGAAUACCGGUGGCGAAGGCGGCCCCCUGGACGAAGACUGACGCUCAGGUGCGAAAGCGUGGGGAGCAAACAGG